This 468-nucleotide ribosomal RNA is filed under the name uncultured bacterium. RNAcentral describes it as "bacterial SSU rRNA". It matches the Rfam family "Bacterial small subunit ribosomal RNA", at positions 21 to 507 of the family's 1533-position model. The record is from RNAcentral.
GGCUCAGGACGAACGCUGGCGGCGCGCUUAAUACAUGCAAGUCGAACGAGAAGCCAGAGCUUGCUCUGGUGGAAAGUGGCGAACGGGUGAGUAACACGUGAGAAACCUGCCCCAAAGAUUGGGAUAAGCCUUGGAAACGAGGUCUAAUACCAAAUACCUUCUUUUAACACAUGUUAAAAGAAGAAAUGCUCCGGCGCUUUGGGAUGGUCUCGCGAUCUAUCAGCUUGUUGGUGAGGUAACGGCUCACCAAGGCAUCGACGGAUAGCUGGUCUGAGAGGAUGUCCAGCCACAUUGGAACUGAGACACGGUCCAAACUCCUACGGGAGGCAGCAGUAGGGAAUCUUGCACAAUGAGGGAAACCUUGAUGCAGCGACGCCGCGUGCGGGACGAAGGCCCUAGGGUUGUAAACCGCUUUCAGUAGGGACGAAAGUGACGGUACCUACAGAAGAAGCCCCGGCCAACUAUGUG